This 253-nucleotide ribosomal RNA is filed under the name uncultured bacterium. Its description in RNAcentral is "partial 16S ribosomal RNA". It matches the Rfam family "Bacterial small subunit ribosomal RNA", at positions 524 to 776 of the family's 1533-position model. The record is from RNAcentral.
UACGUAGGGUGCAAGCGUUAAUCGGAAUUACUGGGCGUAAAGCGUGCGCAGGCGGCUUUGUAAGACAGAUGUGAAAUCCCCGGGCUUAACCUGGGAACUGCAUUUGUGACUGCAUGGCUGGAGUGCGGCAGAGGGGGAUGGAAUUCCGCGUGUAGCAGUGAAAUGCGUAGAUAUGCGGAGGAACACCGAUGGCGAAGGCAAUCCCCUGGGCCUGCACUGACGCUCAUGCACGAAAGCGUGGGGAGCAAACAGG